GAUGAAGAACGUAGCGAAAUGCGAUAAGUAGUGUGAAUUGCAGAAUUCAGUGAAUCAUCGAAUCUUUGAACGCACCUUGCGCCCUUUGGCCAUUCCGAAGGGCAUGCCUGUUUGAGUAUCAUGAACACCUCAACUCUUCAUGGUUUUCCGUGAUGAGCUUGGACUUUGGGGGUCUUGCUGGCCUAUGGUCAGCUCCUCUAAAAUAAAUCAGCUUGCCAGUGUUUGGUGGGUAUCACAGGUGUGAUAACUAUCUACGCUUGUGGUUUUCCACCAGGUAACCUUCAGCAGUGGAGAUUCGCUGGAGCUCACAGAUGUGUCUCUCCUCAGUGAGGACAGCUCUUUGAAUGUUUGAUCUCAAAUCAGGUAGGACUACCCGCUGAACUUAAGCAUAUCAAUAAGCGGAGGA
Molecule: unclassified non-coding RNA, 406 nt
Filed under: soil metagenome
Description: partial contains 5.8S ribosomal RNA, internal transcribed spacer 2, and large subunit ribosomal RNA
Rfam family: 5.8S ribosomal RNA (bases 1-121)
Source: RNAcentral